ACAGAUGAUUAUAUGUUCUGGAUAUGUGUCAUUGCCCUAUUUGCCUUCUCAUUUCUCUUCAACUUCUGCUUCAUCUUGGCGCUGACUUACUUAAACCCACUUGCUGAUUCUAAAUCUGUUAGUAUGGAUGAUGACAAAAGUAAGAAAAACGAGCUAAGUAACUUUAACCCCAAAGAAUCAACAGAGAAAAGUUCAGUAUCUACCACCGCAACAUUUAAA
This 219-nucleotide unclassified non-coding RNA is filed under the name Hevea brasiliensis (rubber tree). The record is from RNAcentral. Lineage: Eukaryota; Viridiplantae; Streptophyta; Magnoliopsida; Malpighiales; Euphorbiaceae.